This 599-nucleotide long non-coding RNA is filed under the name Linum usitatissimum (flax). Its description in RNAcentral is "long non-coding RNA (LUSI_LNC007347)". Lineage: Eukaryota; Viridiplantae; Streptophyta; Magnoliopsida; Malpighiales; Linaceae. The record is from RNAcentral.
CCGAUUCGGCACCGAAGCUGACGGAGAAAGAGUUGUUCGAGUGGCGGGCGAUGAACUCCGUCAGCAGCGCUUCUGGAAGCAUCUUUGGAUGCUUGGUUUGUGAUGGGCUGUUCAACUCCUCCGGUGGGUGAGCGCAAGUUUUUUGGAAUAUCCCCAACAUUAUUACUAUUACUUGUUAAUUAUUUCUUUUUCUUUGUGUUGUUUCUUGUUUGUAGCUACUGAUUGAGAAGAAUUGAACAACUGGAUUAUAUAUAUAAAAAAUAUAUUAAGUAUUCAAGUGUGCAAACCGGGUGCUAGGGAGCGGGAGAAGUACACUGUUUUUUUUUUCAGAUAACGAUGCUGCUGCUGGAUGUUUCGGAAAGAAUUAUGUGAUGAUUAAUUGAUUUUUUUUAUAAUAAUAAAAUGUGACUGUUGUUUUAGAAUACCAAGAGAAGAACCUACGUCACUUAUGGGUGGAAGCUAGUGUAACGGUGCACAGGGGAUAAGAUUUCCCCUUCUUCAAUACUAAUAGUCUUAAUGUCUUAUCCAGUUAUCCUCCUCCUGCAAAUUAUUAUCGGUUUGUCUUAUUUACCUGAAUUAUUUUAUUACUGUUUCUCGGC